RNAcentral lists this ribosomal RNA (436 nucleotides) under uncultured bacterium. RNAcentral describes it as "bacterial SSU rRNA". It matches the Rfam family "Bacterial small subunit ribosomal RNA", at positions 96 to 524 of the family's 1533-position model. The record is from RNAcentral.
UGGCGAACGGGUGAGUAACGCGUAGGAAUCUACCCAAGAGUGGGGGACAACCCGGAGAAAUCCGGGCUAAUACCGCAUACGCCCUACGGGGUAAAGUGGGGGAGCUUUUCGGAGCCCUCAUGCUUUUGGAUGAGCCUGCGUCGGAUUAGCUAGUUGGUGAGGUAAUGGCUCACCAAGGCAACGAUCCGUAGCUGGUCUGAGAGGAUGACCAGCCACACUGGGACUGAGACACGGCCCAGACUCCUACGGGAGGCAGCAGUGGGGAAUAUUGGACAAUGGGGGCAACCCUGAUCCAGCCAUGCCGCGUGUGUGAAGAAGGCCCUAGGGUUGUAAAGCACUUUCAGUGGGGAAGAAAAGCUCGAGGAUAAUACCCUCGGGUUAUGACGGUACCUACAGAAGAAGCACCGGCUAAUUCCGUGCCAGCAGCCGCGGUAAU